RNAcentral lists this ribosomal RNA (548 nucleotides) under uncultured bacterium. RNAcentral's name for it is "bacterial SSU rRNA". It matches the Rfam family "Bacterial small subunit ribosomal RNA", at positions 355 to 895 of the family's 1533-position model. The record is from RNAcentral.
UAGGGAAUCUUCGGCAAUGGACGAAAGUCUGACCGAGCAACGCCGCGUGAGUGAAGAAGGUUUUCGGAUCGUAAAGCUCUGUUGUAAGAGAAGAACGAGUGUGAGAGUGGAAAGUUCACACUGUGACGGUAUCUUACCAGAAAGGGACGGCUAACUACGUGCCAGCAGCCGCGGUAAUACGUAGGUCCCGAGCGUUGUCCGGAUUUAUUGGGCGUAAAGCGAGCGCAGGCGGUUAGAUAAGUCUGAAGUUAAAGGCUGUGGCUUAACCAUAGUACGCUUUGGAAACUGUUUAACUUGAGUGCAAGAGGGGAGAGUGGAAUUCCAUGUGUAGCGGUGAAAUGCGUAGAUAUAUGGAGGAACACCGGUGGCGAAAGCGGCUCUCUGGCUUGUAACUGACGCUGAGGCUCGAAAGCGUGGGGAGCAAACAGGAUUAGAUACCCUGGUAGUCCACGCCGUAACGAUGAGUGCUAGGUGUUAGACCCUUUCCGGGGUUUAGUGCCGCAGCUAACGCAUUAAGCACUCCGCCUGGGGAGUACGACCGCAAGGUU